UCGGUGUGGACUUAUUGGGUCGAAGGGCCUGUUUCCACACUGUAAGUAAUCUGAAUGGGACUAAGCAGAAGAGAAGGAAACUACAAAUCCCAGAACGCAUUGCGUCAAGGCGCUGAGUGUCACGUUUAGUAGCCAAUGAGCGACCUGGGUGCCUUUGACGUGGACCAAUAGUAACGAUAAGGGGCGGUCCAGAGGCCAGUAAGGGAAAAUGGCGGCGGCAGGGAGGAUCAUAUGGUGAAGUGGAGACUCUGUCACUAUCAGGUCGUAUUGUUAACUCUUCUGACUGAAUCAAACAGGAGGUGACAGCUUGCAUUUGUAUAGCGCCUUUGAAGGUUGCUUCGUCGUGUGAAAUGAGGCAUGAAUGCAGUUGGGAAGCGGUUUGGAGUCUCAAAGUGGGUGCUGUGGGAUGACUUCCUGCUAGUGGAAACUGCAAAGCAGAAUGAAGGCUGCGAUUCCUUAGAUCGCAGAGAUGUUAAGACACUGUGGUAAAGCCAAUGGUGCCCGAUGAGGUCUGCCAGUGCACGCACACUCAUGUUCUGAUGCCUGUUGGGGUCCCUUAGCCUCCUGACAGUUGCCUGAAGAGCCAACAGAGCACGGUCCACCGAUUCUUCAACAACAAACCCACGCGUCCAGAAACUCUAGCCAUCCUACCAUAUAUCAAAUGACUACCAGACUACUCUGACCCCCUUGGCAUCGUGGUAGCCCACAAACCUAACAAAUGCUACUGAUGAACUAAAGGACACUAUACCCACGACCAGCAAAAUGAGUGUCAUUUAUAAAAUACCGUGCAAGGACUGUAACAGACACUACAUUGGACAGACAGGCAGGAAACUAGCCACCAGGAUACACAAACACCAAUCAGCCAUCAGAAGAUAUGACCCACUAUCACUAGUAUCCUUACGUACAGACGAAGAUGGAACCACUUCGACUGGGUCAACACACCCAUCCUGGGACAGGCUAAACAGAGACGUGCACGAGAAUUCCUCGAAACCUGGCAUUCCAACGGGAACUCGAUCAACAAACACAUCGAUUUGGACUGCAUUUACCAACCUCUGAGAAGCAGAACCGGAAAUGAUGUCCCCCACUACAACAGCCCAAGACGGAUAAGCGAGACAGAACACCAGCGCUUCACCCGAGGCUCACUGUCGAUGUUACUGAGCACGGUGAUGUAACAUCUGCGAACAGACCGUCAGCUUAGCCAGCAAACUUCCGACUGGGACCUCAACCUGAGCUACCAGUCUUCUCCAAAAUCGCAGAAGGGCGACCAGAACUGCACACACAACUCCAGAAAAGGCCUCACCACAUGGACCAGGCCCUGAACAGCCUCAACCUGACGUCCGACUCCUGGACUUAAAGACAGAGUUUCGGAAGAGGAAGUUGCCAUUGACAGCUCUCCCAGAGUUUCCUUUCUGGACAGAACCAUCCCAGGUUGCAGUUUGGAGCUGAGCAAAGGGAGCUGGAGGCAAGGUGGAAUCCAGCUCUGGCUCCUGCUGCACAAUAAAAGCUAGAAAUACA
Non-coding RNA from Chiloscyllium plagiosum (whitespotted bambooshark), 1515 nucleotides. Lineage: Eukaryota; Metazoa; Chordata; Chondrichthyes; Orectolobiformes; Hemiscylliidae. The record is from RefSeq and is a predicted model, not a curated record.